UGGGGAACAUUUCCGAGAACAGUUCAUCCGCCUGCGUCCAAGCGGUCAGCAUCUCUCUGUCCGGCAAUACGUCGAACACCUAGGCGGCGCGGGCCCCGGCGGCGACCACAGGAGCGCUCCCCAUUCUUCUGGGUCAGCUAGGAUGAACUGUAUAAAGCAGUCCAUCUUGAGGCACAUCAGGUUGAGGGCCUCUGCUGGAACACGUGCUUUUGGAGCCGAGGAUGGAAGUGUAAUGGAGCAACUGACCCGGCUGAUGUGCACGACGACAACUCAUAGCCCGGAUCAGAUAGUUGAUAGAGUGGUCAGGCUUGUGAAAAAAUUCGAUAAGAUCGAUGCUAGUAAGGUGACUGAAACUUCGGAUUUCCAGAAAGACUUGUCCCUGGAUAGCUUAGACAAGGUGGAACUUGUCAUGGCUCUCGAGCAGGAAUUCUCCAUCGAAAUCCCUGAAGAGGAAGCAGACAAGCUCUCUUGCUGUGCCGACAUUGCUAGAUUCAUAGCUUCUGGUUCUGUAAAAGCUGCCAAGAGCUCGUGAGUUCAUUUGCUGUGAUCGGGAGACGGGUGUUUCACUGAUGUCUUUGUUUGAUUCAACUGAAUUGAGAUUCGAAGUUUUCAGUCAUUUUGAUUUGGAGGAAAAUAGAGAAUCUGUACGCAAGGAUUGCAAAUUGCUGUAGCAAGGGAAACUCCAUUAUCAGGUCUUGGUUCUGAUUUAUAAUUUGCAUCAAUGUUCAGCCUUUGUGUGACUCAUGUCACCUUGGACAUAGAUAAGAACCUCUUUUGCCAUUAGCAUACCGGUCUAUAAAAAUACUCACACGCACACAAACCCAACGCGAUAUUCACACUCCCUCUGUUUCUUUGGGCCAUGUACCUUCUGCAACUCUUUCUUCUGGAUCAUUUUAGUUCUCUGAAUUCUAUUUUACAAGUAAACUGUGUGAAGUUUGCAAGACCACUAGCUCAACAUGUGACUGAAGCGCCAUCGAAUGAGCCGUGUCCUCAGGUGUCGGAAUGCUUAAUUUAAAUAGCUUUCUGUGGGGCUGCUCGAUGUCUUCAUGCAUGCUUCUGUAGGCUCGGCUGCUGAAUGCAGAAGUCUUAUUGUCCCCGCCUCAUAAGUUCGGAUCCCAUUCCCAACCGAAGAAAGCCUCACUCUCUUGUGCUUUCUGAUAUGUGCCGGUCGGCAGAGCGAGUUCCUCGGCAUUCGAACGAGGUUGACCGAACAUCUCUUGUUCAGGUUGGGGACGGCGUGGAGCUCUGAAGGAAGAUCAAUGAAGAAGUCCCCAUUUUCAUCUGUCAAGCCGUGAAUUCGGCUAGAUUUGCUUUCUUUAUCAUCGCCAUGGCAAUUGACGGCCACUGAAGCACCUGCACAGGUUGUUUCGAAGGGGUAGAAUGGCAUGUCCCUCUGUCAUGAUUCUCGCGGGCAUAGUAGGCCUCCAUCAAGGGAACCCCAAUGGCUAUGCCCGGGUCCUCGGUGGCCACGGCCGGGUCUCAAGUAGUGCCCAGUAAACCGGUGCCCAUGCCCGGGAACUCAGCACCUGCACCCAAGUCACUUGCGCCCGAGCCCAGGUCCAUUGAGGCCCGACCCGGUUCAUCGGUGGCUGGGCCCAGGUCCACAAAGGCUGAGCCCGAGAUCCCGGUGCCCAUGCAGGGUAAAUUCCAAUUUUUUCACAGGACUGUUUCGCUCAGAAUCAUUUUCAUUUCUUUCAUUGUUUCGGACUCCGACCCAAAGACAAAUUCAGCAUAAAUUAUUCC
This is an RNA transcript of Eucalyptus grandis, 1743 nucleotides long. It is a transcript of the gene named acyl carrier protein 3, mitochondrial, with no coding region annotated. The record is from RefSeq and is a predicted model, not a curated record. NCBI's taxonomy places the organism in Eukaryota, Viridiplantae, Streptophyta, Magnoliopsida, Myrtales, Myrtaceae. The transcript is spliced from 4 exons.